UACGUAGGUGGCAAGCGUUGUCCGGAAUUACUGGGUGUAAAGGGAGCGCAGGCGGGAAGCCAAGUCAGCUGUGAAAACUACGGGCUUAACUUGUAGACUGCAGUUGAAACUGGUUUUCUUGAGUGAAGUAGAGGUUGGCGGAAUUCCUGGUGUAGCGGUGAAAUGCGUAGAUAUUAGGAAGAACACCAGUGGCGAAGGCGGCUUUCUGGACUGAAACUGACGCUGAGGCACGAAAGCGUGGGGAGCGAACAGG
Molecule: ribosomal RNA, 253 nt
Filed under: uncultured bacterium
Lineage: Bacteria
Description: partial 16S ribosomal RNA
Rfam family: Bacterial small subunit ribosomal RNA
Source: RNAcentral